GGUUAAGCGACUAAGCGUACACGGUGGAUGCCCUGGCAGUCAGAGGCGAUGAAGGACGUGCUAAUCUGCGAUAAGCGCCGGUAAGGUGAUAUGAACCGUUAUAACCGGCGAUUUCCGAAUGGGGAAACCCAGUGUGACUCGUCACACUAUCAUUAACUGAAUCCAUAGGUUAAUGAGGCGAACCGGGGGAACUGAAACAUCUAAGUACCCCGAGGAAAAGAAAUCAACCGAGAUUCCCCCAGUAGCGGCGAGCGAACGGGGAKGAGCCCAGAGCCUGAAUCAGCAUGUGUG
Molecule: ribosomal RNA, 291 nt
Filed under: Salmonella enterica
Lineage: Bacteria; Pseudomonadati; Pseudomonadota; Gammaproteobacteria; Enterobacterales; Enterobacteriaceae
Description: partial 23S ribosomal RNA
Source: RNAcentral